GCCUCAAUAGUUCAAUGGAUAGAAUAGCAGUUUCCGGUACUGUAGAUACGGGUUCGAUUCCUGUUUGAGGCGCCA
This 75-nucleotide transfer RNA is filed under the name Clostridiaceae bacterium. RNAcentral's name for it is "tRNA-Arg". It matches the Rfam family "tRNA". Rfam says of the family: Transfer RNA (tRNA) molecules are approximately 80 nucleotides in length. Their secondary structure includes four short double-helical elements and three loops (D, anti-codon, and T loops). Further hydrogen bonds mediate the characteristic L-shaped molecular structure. tRNAs have two regions of fundamental functional importance: the anti-codon, which is responsible for specific mRNA codon recognition, and the 3' end, to which the tRNAs corresponding amino acid is attached (by aminoacyl-tRNA synthetases). tRNAs cope with the degeneracy of the genetic code in two manners: having more than one tRNA (with a specific anti-codon) for a particular amino acid; and 'wobble' base-pairing, i.e. permitting non-standard base-pairing at the 3rd anti-codon position. RNAcentral also lists the same sequence under 4 other names. The record is from RNAcentral. Lineage: Bacteria; Bacillati; Bacillota; Clostridia; Eubacteriales; Clostridiaceae.